CCUCCAGAGUUUGAUCAUGGCUCAGGAUGAACGCUGGCGGCGUGCCUAAUACAUGCAAGUCGAGCGAACAGAUAAGGAGCUUGCUCCUUUGACGUUAGCGGCGGACGGGUGAGUAACACGUGGGUAACCUACCUAUAAGACUGGGAUAACUUCGGGAAACCGGAGCUAAUACCGGAUAACAUUUGGAACCGCAUGGUUCUAAAGUGAAAGAUGGUUUUGCUAUCACUUAUAGAUGGACCCGCGCCGUAUUAGCUAGUUGGUAAGGUAACGGCUUACCAAGGCAACGAUACGUAGCCGACCUGAGAGGGUGAUCGGCCACACUGGAACUGAGACACGGUCCAGACUCCUACGGGAGGCAGCAGUAGGGAAUCUUCCGCAAUGGGCGAAAGCCUGACGGAGCAACGCCGCGUGAGUGAUGAAGGGUUUCGGCUCGUAAAACUCUGUUAUUAGGGAAGAACAAAUGUGUAAGUAACUGUGCACAUCUUGACGGUACCUAAUCAGAAAGCCACGGCUAACUACGUGCCAGCAGCCGCGGUAAUACGUAGGUGGCAAGCGUUAUCCGGAAUUAUUGGGCGUAAAGCGCGCGUAGGCGGUUUCUUAAGUCUGAUGUGAAAGCCCACGGCUCAACCGUGGAGGGUCAUUGGAAACUGGGAAACUUGAGUGCAGAAGAGGAAAGUGGAAUUCCAUGUGUAGCGGUGAAAUGCGCAGAGAUAUGGAGGAACACCAGUGGCGAAGGCGACUUUCUGGUCUGUAACUGACGCUGAUGUGCGAAAGCGUGGGGAUCAAACAGGAUUAGAUACCCUGGUAGUCCACGCCGUAAACGAUGAGUGCUAAGUGUUAGGGGGUUUCCGCCCCUUAGUGCUGCAGCUAACGCAUUAAGCACUCCGCCUGGGGAGUACGACCGCAAGGUUGAAACUCAAAGGAAUUGACGGGGACCCGCACAAGCGGUGGAGCAUGUGGUUUAAUUCGAAGCAACGCGAAGAACCUUACCAAAUCUUGACAUCCUUUGAAAACUCUAGAGAUAGAGCCUUCCCCUUCGGGGGACAAAGUGACAGGUGGUGCAUGGUUGUCGUCAGCUCGUGUCGUGAGAUGUUGGGUUAAGUCCCGCAACGAGCGCAACCCUUAAGCUUAGUUGCCAUCAUUAAGUUGGGCACUCUAGGUUGACUGCCGGUGACAAACCGGAGGAAGGUGGGGAUGACGUCAAAUCAUCAUGCCCCUUAUGAUUUGGGCUACACACGUGCUACAAUGGACAAUACAAAGGGCAGCUAAACCGCGAGGUCAUGCAAAUCCCAUAAAGUUGUUCUCAGUUCGGAUUGUAGUCUGCAACUCGACUACAUGAAGCUGGAAUCGCUAGUAAUCGUAGAUCAGCAUGCUACGGUGAAUACGUUCCCGGGUCUUGUACACACCGCCCGUCACACCACGAGAGUUUGUAACACCCGAAGCCGGUGGAGUAACCAUUUAUGGAGCUAGCCGUCGAAGGUGGGACAAAUGA
This 1492-nucleotide ribosomal RNA is filed under the name Staphylococcus saprophyticus. RNAcentral describes it as "bacterial SSU rRNA". It matches the Rfam family "Bacterial small subunit ribosomal RNA". The record is from RNAcentral. Lineage: Bacteria; Bacillati; Bacillota; Bacilli; Caryophanales; Staphylococcaceae.